Molecule: ribosomal RNA, 435 nt
Filed under: uncultured bacterium
Lineage: Bacteria
Description: partial 16S ribosomal RNA
Rfam family: Bacterial small subunit ribosomal RNA
Source: RNAcentral
AACGAACGCUGGCGGCAUGCCUAACACAUGCAAGUCGAACGAUUGAAUCAGGGUGGUGGUGGCGUACGGGGGCGUAACGCGUGGGAACAUGUGCUUAACCUCGGACUAACAGCUGGAUACGGACGCUAAUACCGGAAGAUAACGCGAGACCAAAGGUCGAUCGCCUGGGGAUGAGCGCGCGUUAGCUUAGGGAGGUGGUGGGGUCACGGCCUACCAAGCCGACGAUGCAGGGCUGGGCUGCGAGGAAGAUCAGCCGUACCUGGACUGAGACACGGACCAGACCCGGACGGGGGGGAGCAGUGUGGAAUACUGUGGGAGGGGCGCAAGCCGGGUCCAGCAACGCCGCGUGAGAGAGGAAUGCCGUAGGGUUGUAAAGCCCGUAGACCCGGGAAGAAAAUGACGGUACCGGGAGAAGAAGCCCCGGCUAACUCCGUG